This is a long non-coding RNA of Grammomys surdaster, 1153 nucleotides long. RefSeq lists it as uncharacterized. The record is from RefSeq and is a predicted model, not a curated record. The transcript is spliced from 2 exons. NCBI's taxonomy places the organism in Eukaryota, Metazoa, Chordata, Mammalia, Rodentia, Muridae.
CCCGAGGCCCCCGGUGCCCCAUCCCCCGCCACCCCAGCGCCAGCCCCACUCACCCUUUCAUUCUCCGCCCGCGGCCUGGCGUGGGCCGGCGAAUCCCCGGCCUCACGCUGACAGAUCAGAGAGGCGCUGGCAGUGGACUUAGGAAGCUCGACUGAUACUGCUCCCUCCCUGGGCUUCAGCAAGAGUCUUUCCCUGUCUAACAAGAGGGGUGAGGAUCAUAUUUUUAUUUUGGAAACUAAAAAGUGCUCCCAGGGUCGGUGAUCAUUAAGGGGAAAUCCCUGAAUAUACUCUCCAGCCAAGAAGGCAGGGCUGCCCGCCUGCACUAGAAGAGGCAGCUGCCUCCUACAGCACCACUACAGGCACCGCGAGGACAUAACACCACAGAGCAGUUCUCUGCCCUCCGAAACGACAACUUUCCUACCAUCUUGGAGGCAGAGGAGAGAGGGGCCAAGGGGAGAAGUGCACCGGCUCCGGAUAAAGUACAAAUUUCUACCUCUCAUCUCUGGAAAAAGUCCAUACCUGAGGAAAAGCAAUGAAGAAAUAGAAGCGAGGUCAUGUGCUCCGUGGUGGGGAAUGUUUCUGCACCUUCUGAUGGAAAGAAAUCUUUACAAGACACAGGUUUUACGAUAUUAUUGUUUUCCAUGUUAACUUUUUCCAUGAGGUUGACAGUCGCAACCUUAAUUUUUUUUUUCAGGCUAGUAAUGAUUUUUCUCUAUGACGGGUCCAAGUUCUGUAUCUGGUGGCCAGUCUGUAAAUUGGCACUUCAGAGACUUAGAGGUCACUGUAUUGUCUUUUAGUGCUCGUUUAUGUUGUAUGUAUUCGUACUUAUGUUCUAAUGUGUUAGAGUUAAGAUUUUGUGGUUUUGGUAUCUGAGGAACUGAGGCUGCUGCGAAUCAAUUGUAAAGAGAUGGCCUUUGUCCUUUCCCAAAGCAAUGUAAGUAAAACCUAUUGACUGCCCAGAAAGGCAAAAAAUACAGCUGUUUAUUUUUCACGGUGCAAAUAGAAGUAUUGUGUAUUUAAACUCUCAGUAGAGCACAGCAAGCCUGUUUAUCUAUCAGCCCAAGAAGAAAGAUGACUCCUGUAAACCUAGCAACAGAUUGAAAGAUGCCUUGGAUUUUCAAGUAAAAUUAUUUACUAAGAAUUAUAUCUAGAA